CGGCGGACGGGUGAGUAAUGUCUGGGAAACUGCCCGAUGGAGGGGGAUAACUACUGGAAACGGUAGCUAAUACCGCAUAACGUCGCAAGACCAAAGAGGGGGACCUUAGGGCCUCUUGCCAUCGGAUGUGCCCAGAUGGGAUUAGCUUGUAGGUAAGGUAACGGCUUACCUAGGCGACGAUCCCUAGCUGGUCUGAGAGGAUGAUCAGCCACACUGGGACUGAGACACGGCCCAG
Molecule: ribosomal RNA, 235 nt
Filed under: uncultured bacterium
Lineage: Bacteria
Description: partial 16S ribosomal RNA
Rfam family: Bacterial small subunit ribosomal RNA
Source: RNAcentral